This 397-nucleotide ribosomal RNA is filed under the name uncultured bacterium. RNAcentral describes it as "partial 16S ribosomal RNA". It matches the Rfam family "Bacterial small subunit ribosomal RNA", at positions 523 to 918 of the family's 1533-position model. The record is from RNAcentral.
AUACGUAGGUGGCAAGCGUUGUCCGGAAUUACUGGGUGUAAAGGGCGUGUAGGCGGGGAUGCAAGUCAGAUGUGAAAUUCCGGGGCUCAACCCCGGCACUGCAUCUGAAACUGUGUCUCUUGAGUGCUGGAGAGGAAAGCGGAAUUCCUAGUGUAGCGGUGAAAUGCGUAGAUAUUAGGAGGAACACCAGUGGCGAAGGCGGCUUUCUGGACAGUAACUGACGCUGGGGCGCGAAAGCGUGGGUAGCGAACAGGAUUAGAUACCCUGGUAGUCCACGCCGUAAACGAUGGAUACUAGGUGUAGGAGGUAUCGACCCCUUCUGUGUCGGAGUUAACACAAUAAGUAUCCCACCUGGGGAGUACGGCCGCAAGGUUGAAACUCAAAGGAAUUGGCGGGG